AAGCAAUAUUCUACUUACCAUUAUCUUAGCCAUAGUUCUUGCAGGAGCCCUUCCCAAGAAUGUGGUAGAGGCUCAGAAUUGUGGCUGUGCUGCAAACCUUUGUUGCAGUCAAUAUGGCUACUGUGGCACUGGCAAUGCCUAUUGUGGUCAGGGAUGUAAACAAGGGCCCUGUGCUUCAUCACCUACGCCUACUACCCCUAGUGGGAGUGGUUCUGUUGCUGAUAUUGUUACGCCUGCUUUCUUCAAUGGUAUAAUCACCAAGCUGGUGCAGGCUGUGCUGGGAAGAAUUUCUAUACAAGAAAUGCAUUUCUCAGUGCUGUCAAUUCAUAUUCUCAAUUUGGUAAACUUGGUUCAGCUGAAGCUUCUAAGCGUGAGAUUGCAGCUUUCUUCGCUCAUGUUACUCACGAGACUGGACGUAAGUUCCUCUUCCAUCCCUAAUAACAUUUCUCGCAGCAUUUGAAUAGCAAGCAUGAUAGCCAACAGUAUUCUGUCUGUCUGUCUGUCUAUCUUUUCCACAAAUACAUUUGUCCGCAUAUGGAUUUUGUCAACAAAGUGAACUGUCUAAUAAGCGUGUUUCAGCUCCUCGUGUGUAAACUGACAAGAGAAAAUGUCUUUUUUUGCAGACUUCUGCUAUACAGAAGAGAUAAAUGGUGCUUCCCGUGACUACUGUGAUGAAAACAACAGGCAAUACCCAUGUGUUGCAGGCAAGAAAUACCAUGGCCGCGGACCAAUCCAACUAUCAUGGAACUACAACUAUGGGCCAGCCGGAAGGAGCAACAACUUUGAUGGAUUGAACAAUCCUGACAUUGUAGCAAGGGAUGCUGUUGUGUCAUUUAAGACAGCCUUAUGGUUUUGGAUGAAAAGUGUUCGUCCUGUUGUAAGCCAAGGUUUUGGAGCAACUAUUCGAGCCAUUAAUGGUAAUGAAUGCAAUGGUGGAAACUCAGGUGCCGUUCAGGCUCGUGUUAGAUAUUAUAGAGAUUAUUGCAGUCAACUCGGCGUUGCUACUGAGAAUAACCUCGCUUGCUAGGUUUUAAAAUAACCGGAGUUGUUAUGCCAAGUUAUGGCUAAUCAUAUGAAAAUAAGAUGUACUGCUAUGAAACAAGUUGAAGAGAAAUAAAGUUUAUAAUUAUCGUUAUGUCUCUUAUAGUUUUUCAGUAAUUUUGAUGUCCCUUUUUAUAUUUAUUUUUAUUACUUAGAAAAACCUCCACUUUACGUGCCAUAAAUUUGUUUUGAAAUUCAAUUUACGCCUUGUAUUUUAUUUUCCAUCAAUUUAAUCCAAUUUGACCAAAAGAUUGGAUCCAUCGAACCCAAUAUAUUAGCAAUUUGAAAUUGAAAUCACUAUAUGUGUGCAUAUUCAUUUAUUCUUCCAUUUCCGUAAUAAAUUUUCAAAUUUAUGUUAAUAUCAGUAGUAGGAUCUACUCUAAUUAAUAACUUCUUGAGUAAAACAAAAACCAAAGGAAAAAAAAUAUAUUUUUAAAUAACUCUUUUUUCCCAGGAAUUUGUCCUCAUUUUAAUAAAUCUUGAUUUUUACAUAUUGCUUAUGCUAGAGACUAGAUAGAGACGAGAAGGUAUGCGUUUUUUCCCGUCCCAGUUAUACAAGCAUAUUGUUACAAUGAUCUCCAUAUAUAUUUUUUAUAUCAAUACAAGAUAAAAAAAUAAAAAAAAAAUAUUAAUUUAGUGUUUCACGUAAGGACACUAAAAAUCAUGUUGAGCCGACGUUGAACAUCAUCAAUAUUAAUGGAGAGACUUUUCAAAGAAGAUGUCAAGUCCAUUUCUUACAUGAUAGCAAUUGUGGAUUGGGGUCCAUGUCCAUGGACAACAUCGCAUUGAUCUUGAUGUUAAUGAAACAAGUUUGAAAUACAGUGGCAAAAAAUCGAUUUGCCAGACAAAAAAAUGAAAAAUGAAAAAUUAGGCAACUUCCAGUUAUUUCCUUUUGCUUCCCAAUUAUCAUAUUGUUUGGCGGUGCUAGGCCAUGUGCUUGGCUCACUUGACCGACAGCACUAUACGUUGCUACCCAUUUCUUAUCCAGCUAGCUAGAUGCGGAAGAAACGUUGGUGUUUUUUUUAAUACAUUUCCAAAAAAAAUAAUACUUUAAAAAAUAAUUAUCAUUACAUUUUUAAUGAGUUAAUCACCAAGAGAUAGAGAAAGUGUUGCGUGUUAAAAAAUCAAUUCAGUCUAGUAACUUAAGUUAUUAGGUUAGAUUUCAAGAUAUGAUUUAUAUUAUUUUAUAACAUACUAUUUCAAGUCAUUUGGAUUGUAUAUAUCCAUAUUACUUUGUGCUUAAUUUUUAUCAAAUAAAUGAGGAUGAUGAGUGUUGCUACCCAAUUUUUGACCCAUGUUUUAAUAUAUUUUCAAAAGAUCCAAAAAAAAUAAAAUUGAAAAACAAAGAAAAUCCAAAAAAAUAUGUUUUUAAUAUAUUUUCGUCAUUUUAGCAUUUUCAACGUCGUUUAAAAAGAAUUUAAAUUGUUAAAAGAUUUUUCAAACGCGUUCGACUUUUCACGCGUAAUUUUUAAAAUCGUUGAUUUUCCGCAUUUUAGUUGACGUUGAUAUUGCUCGUUUUCAAAAAAUACAAAAAAAUAAGAAAAAUCAAAAUUUACAAAAAGAAGGAAGUUGAGGGACCAAGUUGAAAAAUCUAGCAAAAGUUUUCCUAUAAAUACCAUGCUAAACUGAUUUUUAAAGGGGGGCAAUUUUGAAAUAUCAGAAAAUACAAAAACAAUAACCUAACCCUAAACCUAUCUCUACCAAGCCUACAUCCCCCCUUUCCCCUUGGUUUGAAUUUUUUUUCUACAGCCGCCGGCCACAAACCAAAGCCAAACACAGCCACCCCUUCAGCCGUUUCUUUCUCAACAGACCCCCACAUUUGAACCCACGGUCCAACCAUCUCUUUCAGCCCUUUGAAACAAAAAAACAGCAGCCGUCUCCAAGCCUUUUUCCCGUUACAACAGCCACCACCGUUUUUUUUUCUUCUCUUCAACCUCACAAAGGACCAGCCGGCGGCGCCCCCUCCCCCUUUUUGGGUCUUGAGUUUUUCCCCGGCCAUCUCUGAUCUCCCUCUUCUCAGCCGGACAACCAUCAUCUCCCAGCUCUCCCCUCAGCAGCUCCUUCUUCUCCUUCGAUCCCAGCAGCAACGACCUCCACAAAAGCUCAGCCACACGCCAUCACAGAAACCAGCGGACCUCCCCCCUCCACAGAUCCUCUCUCUACUCUCCGCAACUCCUGAACCAGACUCCGGACACUCAGCGGCGCUCCUCUCAGUCACCAACAAGCGACGACCCACAGACCGACCUCGCAGCAGCUGCUCUUGCCCAGCGCCGUCGCCGCCCAACCGCCAGACCGCCACCGAUUGAAGAAGGAACGAAGGGACGCCAGGAAGGAGAAAGAUAACCGGAAACAAUAGAUCUAAAAAACGAAAAAUCAGAAUAGAUCUGGACAAAAAAAUGGAGUAAAAUCAACUGUUUGUGGCCCCCUUUUUGUAUUUCUUGUUGCAGGCAGAGGUGGCAGUGACCACCGGCGAGGAAGAAGAGAGGAAGCCGCUUUCGAUCUCCCCUGCUGUUUGGGUUUUAUGCGGCGGCGCGUGAACCCACGCGCCGCCAGUGACGGGGGCGCGUGGGGAGACGCGCCGCCCAUGCUCCUGCUGCCCUUUGUCUUCACAGAACUGUCCCUGCACUGUUAUAGAUUUUUUAGGGUUUAUUUUGUAAUUUGUUUUUAAUUGUUUGAUGUAAUAUUUGUUUAAUUUGAAUUUUUAUUUGUAUUUUGUAAAUAGGGAUGUAAAAGAAAAGAAAAGAAAAAGAGAAAAGGAAAAGAAAAGAAACAAAAAUAAUACAGUAAAAGUGAAUGUGGGUAUUUGUUUUUAUUUUUUUAAUAUAUUUUUUUAAUGAUAAAAUUGCAGAUAUUAAAAGAAGAAUUUAAUAUUUUGAUUGGAUCACGGUUAAGAAUUAUUAACUUAUACGUAAGUGAUAUUUCUAAUUUCCGAUGAAAAGACAAUUAUUAAAACUUUUUUUAACACGUCAAAGACACGAAGCAGCUUACCUCAGGUAGGGUGCGUUAGGGGUGCAAAUACCUUCCCUAACCACAACCAGUCCCUUACCCGCGAAUCUCUGACAAGACCAGUACAUCCGGUUUCCUAGUAGCCUUCAAUGAAUUACUAGGUGGCGACUCCAACGAACCGAUUCAAGCAAACGUAACGCAACAACGAUAAAAAUCGUCAGCCGAUGCCGCGCGCCGACUGAUUUUUUUGGGGUGCGACAAUGAGAUUUGAAUUCGUGAUCAUUUAAUUAUCAAGGGUUUAAUAUCAUGUUAAAAAAUAAUCUUAACCUAAUAGCAUAAGCUACUAGAUAAGGUUUUAAAAUAUAAUUUAUAUUAUUUUUUAAUAUUAAACUAUUAAAUUAAGAUUUUCUUUAAGACUGUGAGGUAGAAAUUGAGUUGAGUUGAGAAGAGUGUUUCUCCUCCUCCUUGGAAUAUGAACGGCAUCUCUAAUUAAUAAAACAGAUAUUGUAGGCAAAUUAGUCAACCACAUGCGUCGAUUCUGGGCAUCCAUUUUUAUCCUAACAGUUAGCUACAAAAACUAGAAAAAGAAAGGAGCACUAGAAGACGGGUUUAAUUUUAUUUUUUCCUAACCUUUCAUUUAUGGUGAAAGGUUGUCUUCUCUAUCUUAAAAAUAUAUAGGAAGGGGACGUAGAUUUUGGGUAAGUAGCUAGUCAACGACGGCUAUGCCCAUUCUAUGCCAUUGGGCGCCAGUAACUUCAAAUAGCUACUUCAAACUAUUGACUGUUGGUUAUGUAUUUUAAAUUUUUUUUAAAAUUUUUAAAAUUUUAUUAUUAACUUCAAAUUAAUAUAUUUUUAUUGUUUUUAAAUUAUUUUGAUAUGCUGAUGUCAAAAGUAAUUUUUUUUUUAAAUAAAAACAAAAUCAUUAACAUGUAUUUAGACAUAAAAAAUUAUUUAAAGAGCAACCACAACUACACUGCACAAAAUAAAAUAAAUAAUAAGAUAUUAUGUUGUUUUUCGUGAGGAGAUAGGGUUGGACAGCCUUUUUCCUCCAAAGUCUGAACUAGCAUGUGGUAAACUACCAAUUGAAUCUGUGUCUUUUAUGUGGACAAGAUUUCUAUUUUCUUGCCUAACUUCUUUCGACUUUUGCUUGAAAUGGUAGUGGUUGCUUAUCCUUUCCUAGUUGCUUGAAAAGUAAUACACAUAAGCCAGCAAUGGAACAAACAAUUGGUACGUAUGAUUACCAUCUAUCGUGUGCUGCCGGUAACAGCACAAUACAAAGUUAAAACUUCAUGUUUUUUUUUUAAAAAAACUAACGUUAUGAAUAUCCAAAAGCCUUGAAAUGAUUUAGACAAAAAAAUCCACCGUUAGUGAUUGGAUGUUCAAAUAUCUCAUUCGCUGCGACGAGGUCGGAUGUUAGAAAUAUGGGUGAACUCUCCUCCAGUUUUGAAUAGCUUUAGCUUCCUCGGUUUUUCCUAUAUUUGAGAUACGACUCGAAAACAAAAGGGUUGAUAUUAUUUUACAUAUAUACGACAUGUAUUCCAUAUAUAUAGAUCCAUGAUAUACAGCGGAUUAAUAAAAAUUAAUUUUUUUCAAAUAUCAAAAAAAUAUAAAAAGUAUAGAAAUUUUUUUAACUAUCCUUAAAAUAUCCUAAAUAAUUUUUUAUAAAAAAAAAUAUUUAAACUACCCUUAAAAUAUCAUAAAACAAAAUACAAAUUAAGUUUUUUAUAAUUUUUUAAAAAACAUUAAAAUUACCCUUGAAGUGUUCUAAAUAAUGUUUUUUUAAUUGUUUUUAAUUUUUUAUAAAAAACUUUAAACUACCCUUCAAAUAUGAUCUUAAAUCAAAAUACUAAUUAGUUUUUUAUAGAUAUUUUUUUAUUAAAAAAACAUUUGAACUACCCUUGAAGUAUCCUAUAUAAUUUAUUGUAUAAAUGUUUUCUAUUGUUUAUAAAAAAAAUAUUUAAAUUACCAUUGAAGUAUCAUAAAUAAUUUUUUUAAUACAUUUUUUUUAUUUUUUAUAUAAAAAAUUAAAUUACCCUUAAAGUAUCAUGAAUAGAAACACUAAUUAAUUUGUUUUAUAAAUAUUUUAUUUUUUAAAAAUAAAUAGGUUUGGCAGCCAUGCUAGACCCAAUAAUCUUGGGUCUCGCAGUAAUACCAAGCCUAGAAUCCUUGGAUCUGGUGGCAAUCCGAGACCCAAGAACGCUGGUUCUAGAGGGUAAACCAUACACAAUAGCUUUAUGUUUGAUUGCCAUGUCAAACCCACUAUGCUUGGGUUAGGCGGUUAUGCCUUGGCUCAACACGUUGUAGCAACUUUUAGAAAAAAUGGAAAAGAUAAAAAUGGUAAAAAAAAUUAUUUUUUUUCUAGUUUUUACAUAUAAAAAAUGAAACUAUCCUUCAAGUAUUCUAAACUGAAAUUCUAAUUAAUGUAUUUUAAAAUUUUAUUAUUAUUUUUAUUAAAAGCAUAAACUACCCUUGAAUUAUUAUAAAGAAAAACGCAAAUUAAUUUUAUUUAUAGUGUUUUUUUUUGUUUUUUCUAUUAAAAAAAUAUUAAAACUACCCUUGAUGUAUCUAAAUAAAAAUACUAAUUAGUUUUUUAUAAAUUUUAUUUAUUUUUUAUGAAAAACAUAAACUACCCUUGAAUUAUUAUAAAGAAAAACGCAAAUUAAUUUUAUUUAUAGUGUUUUUUUUUGUUUUCUCUAUAAAAAAAUAUUAAAACUUUUUUUAAUUUCUAUUAUUUUUUAUAAAAACAAACAUUUAAACAACUAUUGAUGUAUCAUAAACAACAAUGUAAAUUAAUUUUGUUUUAUAAUAUCUUUAUUUUUUAUUUCUAAAAAAAAUAUUAAAACUACCCUUAAUGUAUCCUAACUAAAAUUUUAAAAAACGUUUAGUGCAUGUUUGUAAUAAAUUGAAUGAUCAUCCAAUGAAUGUAAGUUUUUUAAUAAUGAGUUGUUAAGUUAUAUAUUCAGAUUAUUUGAUUACUCUACAAAUUUUAAUUUUCUUUUUGCAUAUUAAAAGUUCAUAAAGAUUUUAAUACAUCAUUACAAGUUUAAGUUUGGAGUUGUAAGAAAAGUGUAAUGUUUAUAUCAAUAACAUUAAAUUUAACUUUUAACUUUGAAAUUCAAAAUCCUUUAAAUUGAAUAGAGGUAGGCAUAAAAGAACCCGAAUCACUGGGUCUACCAAAUCAAAGAUCCAGUUUAUGUAGGUUAUAUUGUCAUUAAAGUGUCCAAAGCACAAACUGUGCUCCACUAGUUUACUUUUCAAAGCUGCAAAGCUUCAAUCUCAACAUAUAUCUGCGCACAAAAUAGUUGCAAGGAUCAGUAAAUCUUGAGAAUAAACAACUAAUUAAUGGGAUAAAAGAAAGAUCCAAUAGUUUUUCGAUACAAAUAAUAAUUUCAUACUGAUAGGUCUUGUGAGCAAGCUGCAUCUUUCCUUUCCUAGAUGAAAUUCAUGUGAAAUAUUUUUUUCGACAGUCCAACUCUUUCAUUUUUCGGUUUCUGUUCUUUCAAUCUUAACUGAAAAAUUAGACUUAUACCAAUCAACUUCUUCAACUAGGAUGUAAUAUUAGCACUGAAACUAUAUAUAUAUAAAAUUGCAGCUCGAUCACUAUCCUAGUCUUUCUAUUAAAAAUUAUGAGUACUGCAAAUUACAGAACCACUUGUAUAAACUGGCUUUGACCCCUACCAGAACCUUGCUAGGAUAAUAGAAAAGAAUAAACCCAUCACUUUUUAUUUAUUGUCAUGAAUAUGAUAAAACUAAACUAGCUGUUUCUUACGAUGCUAUAUAAAAAGAUUCAAAAUCACCAAGAUUUUGUACUUGGUUUGUAGUAAAAUAGAAUUUUGAUUUGUUUCUUCCUGCAAUCCUCGCAUGAAAAAUAGCAUUAAUGAAAGACUCUAUGGAAGUAAAAAGGUCACUUUGGCUAUCUUUCAUGUCCAUUUGAUCACUCCAAAAUAAUAGAGGAGUUGGAAAAGCCAAUUAAUGAGCAGCUAAAAGCCCAAGGUAUAUUAUCUUUGUCACACGGGGGGCACGAUGUCAGGGGUGAUGACGAGCUUUUCAUGCUUCCUGAGGAGGUGUCGUUGUUGGGAAAAGAAAUAGGUUUGGGUUUAAUCAUAGAUUAUAAUUAAGUUUUGGAGCCGCUACCUAGUAUUAUAAUAAAUAGAAACCUAUGGUUUGCAAGAGUCCGGGUAAAAGACUAGUUGUGUGAGGGGAUGACACAUCACUCCUAGUGCACCCUACCUAAGAUACAUUGCAUUGUUACUUGAUUGUUUUUCUAUGUCAAGUUUAUAUUCGUUGGUCUUUUUUCUAAGGUUCAAGGUAGAUCUUUCUUCGUGAGUCUUUACCUCAUCGGGUUUAAUUAUAACUAUUUUAAAGAUCAAAUUUUAGCAUUGCAUUUAUUUUACACUUCGUAUCUUUAAUACUAAAAGAUAUACUCUACUAUGUAGUUUUAUACCACACAAACGUUAAAGUCUACAUCUAAACCCUAGGAAAAUGAUUGGUAAAGGGUUUUUGAAAAUUUAGUCAAAUUCUAAUGGACAAUCAUAAACUAGUUACAAUAUCCAAAUUUUUUUAAAAAAAACAUGAAAAAUAUGCAUUUUUUUUAUGUUUUUUUAUGAAAAUAUGUUUGGAAAACUUUUUAGGAUUUGGACGUAUGUAUAAAAACAAAAAAAAAAUAUUUUUUUAUUUUUUGAAAUGGAAAAUUAAUUUAAAAGUUUUGAAAUUUAUUUUGAUUUUUUUAAAAUAUUUUUUAGAAAUUUUCAGAGAAAAUCAGGUAUGUUAAUACCGGAUUUGUAUCUGACAAUGUAAAUAUACAACCUAAUAUUAUACAAAAUUGAUAGAAAAACAUUCGAGAAAAUCAAAAUGUUUUUGAAAAGAUGUUUUAUUUUUUUUAUAAUAUUAUAAAUAAAUAAAUAUUAAAUAAAUAUGGAUAGUAUAGCCCAACUAACUCGAUCGAACUUAACCCAAGAAAUAUAAGGUUGGUCCCAACCCAAGAAGGGUGUUGGGCCAAUCUUGUUCCAACACAUUAUUUUUACGUUUUUAGUACGGAUUAGAACCAUCCUAAUUAUUUGGGAUGGGCUAGAAAUAGCCUAACUCAAAGUUAAUAGUUGAACAUGAAGUAUACAAUGGGCUAUAAUUCAUACCCAUUGUUGAUGCAUGAUUAGUAGGAUAGUAGGAUGUGAAUUACAAUCCAUGCUUACUGUUUAUGUGAACAGAGAGGGAAGAAGAGGAAAGGGGGCUCACUUGGCUCAUGGGUUGCGGAUAUCGUCAAAUGAAAUCCAAUUACAAUUUCAGGAUUUGUUAGCAACAAUUCCACGACGUCGCAUCCAAUGUUUCUCAGACGCAUGAAAGCACAAGGCUAAGCUUCUCUCUUCAAGUGGAAGUCUACAGCAUAUUGAAGAUGAAUGUGAGGUGGAAUCCCAAGGCUCACUGGACUCAGGAAUCAGACAAGGGAAUCUUCGUUGUUUAACAUCUUCAAAUUCUGUUGUUGAGGCAGAGGUGCAGGGAACGUUGAAAACUGGGCGGGCAUUGGGUUUUGGAAUGUUGAGGACUUGCAGGUGCUGGGAACAUCCAUUAGAGGCCAGGUGGACAGAAAGCUGGAAGAUUGGAAUGACGACCAAUAAUGCCAUUUUGCAGCUCGACAGUGGAUAUGUAUUACCUUCUUUCUUAAUGAAGAUCUUACUCUGGAAUAGAUGUGGAUUGGGUAUGUCUGCUAAGGGGGUAUCGAUUAGGAAUACUGUUCUGCAUAAUGACAUUAAGGUGUGUUUUCUGCUAGGAACUAAGAGGGCAAUGUGCUGUGACAAUUUUGUUCAUGCAUUAUAGAAUAACUUAUCAGUCAAAUGGUUUCCACUUAAUUCAGUUGAUUAGGCUGGAGGUAUUUUAGCUACGUGGGAUGAAAGUAAGUUCAUGGUUCAUUCAAUUGGAUUGCAUAUUGAGAAGCAAUUUACUUGUGCAAUCAUAGGAGUCUAUGCAGGAAUCAUAGUUCAUGUGAGACACCUUUGUUCAUUGUUGGGGACUUCAAUGAAACAUUGCAUCAGUGUAAAAGUAACAGUGGCUAUUUGAAUGGCAUUGGUUCUACGGAUUUCAAAAGAUUCAUAUCCAAUUGCAAUCUUUUGGAGUAUCCCCUCUCUGGUCACCAUACACAAGAUUUCAUGGCAACUCAAUGAGUAGAACUGAUAGAGCCUUUGCCACUCCAUACUUCCAUUUAACAUUCUCAGGUCUCCUACUCAAUCGGUUUCCACAAGAAUUGUCUGAUCACUGCCCAAUGAUCUUAGGACUGCAAUGCCAAACUUGGAGAUGGAAGCCAUUUCGUUUCCUCAAUUGUUAGGUCUCUAAGCCUAUGUCUAUGGACAAACUUGAUGGUCUUUUCCAGGAGUGUGGUAUUAAGUACAAUGGGAGACUUCACAUGUUUAAAAAGCUUGCCUUUAUGGCUAUGAAAUUCAGAAUAUGGAAUAGAAAGGAAUUUGGCAAUCAGGACUUGAAACUGUUGCAGCUUUAGCGUGACAUCCAGCGACUGGAGAAUAUAGAAGAGGACAAACAGCUUAACCAUGAAGAACCUUCUAUGCUGCAAAUCUUGCGCUCUAAGCCGUGGGAAAUCAACAAGUUUGUGGAAUCAAUCUGCAGUACAAAAUCAAGACAGAGCUGGUGCAAGCCUUAGAGAUAAGAAUACAAAAUUCUUCCACAUUAUAGCUAAUAUUCGAAGGAGUGGAAAACUCUAUCACUCGUAUCAGAUACAAUGAUAUACUGCAUACCUUUCCCAAGGACAUCAAGGAGGCGGCAAUAUCCUAUUUCUCAAGUCUGUUCACUAAUGAAAUCUCUACAAGAGCUACAAUGGGGUUCAAUAAACUAUCCAUAAUGCAAACUCAACAACUUGAACAAGCGGUAACUAUGGAAGAGGUCAAGCAAAUGAUUUGGAGUUGUGAUGGAACAAAAGCCCCAGGUCUUGACUGCUUCACCUUCAUUUUCUAUAAAAACGCAUGGCAUUUGAUAGGGCCUAACAUUUUUUAUAUGGUGCUUGAAUUUUCUGGACUAAGGAAAUUACCAACAGGAAUUAACAUCUCUCAUAUGGCCUUUGUUCCAAAAUCAAAGCUAUCUACAGAAUUUUCAGAGUAAGGCCAAUAAGUUUAGUGCAUGGCUUGUACAAAAUUAUAGGUAAACUGCUAUCCAACAAAUUGAAAGUCAUUAUGCAUAGUAUUAGCGCUAAUCCAACAACUUUCAUCAAAUUUUAGAUGAUUUCAUGAAGGCUAACGAAGUUGUACACAAUGUUAAGAAAAGUGGGCACAUAGUUUGGUUAUGAAAGUGGACUUUCAUAUAAGACUUUUAAUUGAGUGGUACAGGAGUACCUAGGGAAAGUGAUGUCAUAUAUGGGUUUUUAGAGGAGGUGGACUUCUCUAAUACAUCAAUGCAUUACGAGAUCUAAAUUAGCUAUUUUUAACAUCGUCAGAAAAUUAAUAAAUACAAAUGAAAAUAUUGAUAAAAAUAUUCCGUCGAUAAAUUGCAGUAAAUUUUACCGAUGAAAAUAUUUCAUCGGUAUAUACUGAAGGAAUUACAGUGGGCAAAAAAAAAAAAACAAAGUCAAAAAAUACGAUGACAUGUCAUUUAUAUCAACAAAAUUACCAACGGAAUAAAUUUCAUUGGUAAAAUCAUUGAUAAACUAUUAACAUUGUUCAUCAUGUCAAGUACAAAAGGAAUUGCCAACGGAAAAUUAUGUUGAUAUUUACUAGAGAGCUCUAGAACUGUUUACUUUCCAUUUGCGUUGUUAAUUAAUAUUCUUUACAAAUAAAAUCACCGACGGAUUGAAAAGUCGUCGGUGUUAUUUGGUGGGUUUCUAAUUUUUUUUGAUUAAAUUGAAAAUUUAAAUUAAAUAUUAUAGACGGAAUCAUCGACGAAUUGAAAAGUUGUCGGUGAUAUUUGGUGGUUUUUGAAAAAUUUUUAUUAAAUUGAAAAUUUAAAUUAAAUAUUAUAGAUGGAAUCACCAACGAAAUGAUUAAAAAUAUUAAAAUUUAAUUAUCCAUCGGUAAAACUGUCAGUAAAACACCCGAAUAAAAAGCCGAAAUCUCUAAUUUCACAACAAAGAGACCUCAUUUCUUCUUCUUCUUCUUCUUCUUCUUCUUCUUCUUCUUCCCCAUAAGUAAAAAAAUGACCAUCCCUUUCUUUCUCUUCUCUUCUCUUCUCUCCUUAACUCCUCUUCUCCUUCAUACUCAGGUAUGUCUUCUUCUCCUUUCUUCUUUUCUCUUCUCAAUUUUUUCUAAUUAAUAUACUUCUUCUCCUUCAUAUGAAAUCAAUUUUUAGUUCACUUAUUUUUAGAAAUCGCAACUUUAUUUUUUCAUAUGAUUGUUUAUAGUUGAAUUUAUUUUUUGUGUUAUUUAUUUGUUGUAAAUUUAUUUGAGUUGAUUUUCUUCUUUUGUUUUUCCUAGUAACUCAAUUUUGAGUAUUAUUAAGUGUUGAUUUAUAUUAAUUUAAUUAUUUAAUAGUUUUGUAAAAUAGAUUUUUUAAAAAUAUUUUUAAAUAAUCACCGAUGGAAUUACAUAUGGUAUUUUUCUAAGGAAAAUAUCGACGUAAUGAAGCGGGUAAUUUUUUUCACGCUUUUUUUGUUAGUAAAUCCAUCGGUAAUAAUAUUUUUUAUUAUCAACGGAUAAAAAAUUACAGAUAAAAGAUUCAUCGAUGGAGCAUUUUCAUCUGUGAUUCCAUCGAUAAAUUAAUUACUAAUAGAAUGAUAGUACAAAUACCGAUAAAAAAUUCCAUCGGUAAAUAUAAAGAUUAUGAUAGUGUAUUAAAGGUUCACCAAGCGCGGAGUUUAGAGUAGAACGUGACUAUGUCAAGGCAAUAAUCACUAUUGCCUUUUCUUUUUGACAUAUAUAUGAAGGGGUUAUCAGUUCUAUUUAAAAGAGCUUCCACUUCUGGAUUAUUUAAAGGAAUCCAUUAUGGAAAUGGGAUGUAUAUGAGUUUUUGCAUAUGAUAUCUUAGUGUUUAUUCCUAAUCAUUUCAUUUUGAUAAUUAAUGCUAAAAGAAUUUUGAGGUGGUUUGAAUUGAGAUCUGAAGGUUAAUUUUUGUAAAAAUUCACUAGCUGACAUUAACCUAGAUGAUGAAUUUACAGUAGGAAUAACAAAUGUGAUAAAUAGCAUCCGCACAAGACUAGUUUCAUGGAAAGGUAAGUUCUAGCGAAAUGCAUUCACGAUGUUAUCAUAUGGAAUUUUGUGGGGGUAUUUGGACUGCAAGAAACAAGCUUAUUUUUAAAGAUAAAAAGCUUGAUUGAAAUACAUUGUUUCAACUCAUACUCCAUCGUCUUGCACUUUCAUUUGAAUUAAGUUGUGCAGCGCCAAUAUUAUCACAAUAAAUCAAAGGCACUUGUUUAACUGAAUAUUGAAGUUCAUUUAAUAAUGGACAUACCCAGCUAAUUUCUAAACCAGUGUCAGCAUUGACGAUAUUCAGCCUCCGUUGAUGAUCUAGCAAUGGUUUGUUGUUUCUUGGAUGACCAUGAGACAGGAUUCUGACCAAGGUAUAGAAUGUAGGCACUAGUGGAGGAGAAGUCAUCCUUGUUUCCCCCCAAUCUGCAUCUAAAAAUGCAUGCAAGUGAGCAGGUGAUUGAUGAUACAGAAGAAGACCUACGUUACUGGUGCCUGAAAGAUAACGUAGGAGGCGUUUGACAAGUUUCCAAUGUUCUUCAGUCGGGUUGUGCAUGAACUGUGACAACUUGUUCACAACGAAAGAUACAUCUGGUCGGGUGAGUGAAAAAUAUUGAAGACUUCCAAAUGUGGCAUGACAUUCUGAAGGAUCUAAGAGCAACUUACCCAUUGCAAGAGUGGGAGGAGGACCUGGUGGCAGUGGAGUAGCCAUAGGCCGUGAGUUGCUCAUGUUGGUAUGAUGCAAGAGAUCUUGAAUAUAUUUGUACUGAGAAAGCACCAACCUGCAAGGAUGUGAUUAUAUUUCUACACCAAGGAAAUAAGUCAGAGAACCCAAAUCUUUUAGGGAGAACCGCUUGGCUAAAUUUUGAACAAGUAGAUCGACUGCAUGCUCAUCAUCACCGGUGAUGAUAAUGUUGUCUACAUAUACCAAUAAAUAUAGAAGAUGUCCAUGAUGUUUAAGAAUGAAUAAGGACGUAUCAUUCACUGAAUUUGUGAAGCUGCUAGCAAUCAGAAUGGAGUGAAGCUCAUGGUACCACACACGUGGUGCUUGCUUUAGGCCAUAAAUGGCUCUACGCAGUUUGCAAAUGAAAUUUGGUCAUUCUUUAUCUACAAAGACAGGAGGUUGAACUAUGUAUACAUCUUCCUAUAGAUGUCCCUGCAGAAAAGCAUUGUUGACAUCCAAUUAUCACAGCUUCCACCCAUUACUAACUGCAAUGGACAUGACAAGAUGAACUAUGGUUGGCUUGACAACUGGAAUGAAGGUUUUGGUAUAGUCAAGCCCUGGUCGCUGGUGAAAGCCUUUGGCCACCAAGCAUGCUUUAUAACAAGAAACACUGCCAUCUGAAUUGCGCUUCACCCUGAAAAUCCAUUUAUAAUCGACUAAGUUAGAGGCAUAUUGAGGAGAAACCAAAUCCCAGGUUUGAUUUUGGAUGAGAGCAUUAAACUCAUCCUGCAUGGCAUGACGCUAUUGGGCAUCCUUUAAAACAUUGGCAGCAGAUGUGGGCUCCUGAAUAUCAGUUGUGGGAAGAUGUGAAAGGAAGGUGAGUUUGCGGAUAGGUUUGUAGAUAUUGUUUUUGGAUCCAGUUGUCAUGGGAUGAGAAGAGGCAACAGGUUGAGCUGGGGGUGGAUGAGUGAUCAGUGGGGAUGUUGAGGUGGGCAGAACAGUGGAAGGUUGUGUCAGUUGUAUGGCGGAAGGGCUACUGGUGGCCGUUGUAAUGGAGCUGCUGACAGGGUGUGUGGCAGAGGGUGGAACUGCAGGUGGUAUGAACGGAUGAGAUUGAGGCGCAGGUGCCACAAUAGAAAGAAUAGGAGGUGUCAAUGCAUGCAGAGAUGAAGAGUUUGACACAUAUUGUGAUUGUAGUAAAUUAGGAUAUGGAAAAAUGGACUCAACAAAUCGAACAUGACAAGAAGAAAAAAAUUUUGAAGACUGUGGAUCAAAGCAAAUGUAAGCACUUUGAGAUAAGGAGUAUCCAAGAAAUAUGAAUGGUUUGGACCAGACAUCUAGUUUAUGAGCUGAAUAUGGAUGUAGCCAUGGAUAACACAAACACCCGAAAAUUCACAGUUUAGCAUAGUUCGGAGAUUUUUGAAAAAUAAGGUCAAAAGGAGAAAAAUAGUUUAAAGAAGGUGAUGACAUCCGAUUAAUUAAAUAAAUGGCAGUGGAAACGCAAAUGACCAAAAGUUUUGAGGUAAUGAAGCAUGAGUUAGAAGUGAAAGACCUGUUUCUACUAUGUGUCUGUGUUUUUGUUCAGAGAUACCAUUAUGUUCAAGUGUGUGUGGUGGGGAAGUAUGAUGAGAAAUGCCAUGUGUUUGAAAAAAAUCUUUGAGAGCUGUAAAUUCACCGCCAUUAUCGGAAUAGAAAGUGAUUAUUUUAUGCUUGAAAUAAUUUUCAACAAUGACUUUAAAGCGUAUGAAAGUAGACUUGACAUCUGAUUUGUGUUGCAAAGGAUAAAACCAUGUAUAACGUGUAAAAUGACCCACAAAGACAAUAUAAUAUUUAAAGCAAUCAAUUGAGUGCAUAGGAGCAGUCCAUACAUUAGAGAAAAUUAUUUCAAGAGGAGCAUGAGACUCUAAAGUGGAAGCUGAGAAUGGAAGUUUAUGACUUUUGUUACAUUGACAUGCAUUGCAGGAAAUCUGUUUGGUCAUGGAACAAGUGUUUAACUUGUUUUUAGAAAGAAUAACAUUAAGAAUAGGCAACGAUGGGUGACCUAAUCUAAAAUGCCAAUUUAUUGGUGCAGUUUUGGAAAUAGAAAAUGCGGUUGGAGAAGGGGACAUUGGAUUGAACCCCGGCCAUUCAUAAAUGCCACCUUUGCUCUCACCCUGAGCGCGAACCAAUGUUUAAGAGUUGGAGGCAGGAUUAAGAGUGUUUAAGGUGUCAGUGAUGAUAUAUUGUGGUGGACAAGGUUUGGUUCCAUCAACAAAACCUUGGAGAUCAUAACCUAUAAAAAGUGUUUGGAAUUGCAGCUUCCAUGACAAAUAAUUUGAGCUGGUGAGCUUGAGAGGAGCCUGUGCCGUGACAUUAAUGGUCACCAGGUUGGGCAGGCUGGAGUGAUAUUAGUUUGUGUUGUUGGGAUCAGUCAUGAUGAGAAGGAUGAGAAAGAAAAAAAUAUUAAAGAUGCUCUGUUACCAUAUAAAGAGUUAAUAUGCCUUGCAAUAUAUCUUCUUAUUAAUUCAAUGACGAUAUAUAUACAACCAUGAAGAAUGAAUAAGAUAAGCUUUCCUAACAACCUAGUAAUAGAGAAUUAAUUUAAAUUCAAAAUACUGGAAUUCUAUUAGCAUUUGUAUUACUGAAGACUAGUACAUAAUCCUAACUAUACAUGAUUCCUGAAGACCAGCACUGUAAAGUCGUAUGUUGCUGGCUGACAUUAAGCUCUUAAUUAAUGAGAGGAAAAUGUAGGGUUGGAAAAAAGUUUGGAAGUGAUAAUCAGUACAUACCAAGCCAAAUAAGAUUGUCUCAUGUAGUAACAGACACAUGGUACUAAAUAGGAUUGUGUCCGGUGUAGUAAUAAAGUUUCUACCUUCUAUGGUAUAUAAAAUGUCUGACCACUUCAACAACAUGUCACGUAAAGAGUACAUUGAUGUCAUUAUCCUAGAAAUUUUUGCCAAACUUUAUUUAUUUUGCUAAACUUUAUAUACUAAAUUAUAAUCAACUCCUAGAUAUUUUACACGUAAAAUUAGAGACCUCGUCCACUUUGUGCCUCUAUAAAUAGCUUAACCUCGACCUUAUCUCCACACAUCACAAGAAAUUCCUUUCUCUCUUUGCAUAUCAAUAUCAAAACUCCCUUCAGGAGUAGCGAAAAUGAGAAGCAAUAUUCUACUUACCAUUAUCUUAGCCAUAGUUCUUGCAGGAGCCCUGCCCAAGAAUGUGGUAGAGGCUCAAAAUUGUGGCUGUGCUGCAAACCUUUGUUGCAGUCAAUAUGGCUACUGUGGCACUGGCAAUGCCUAUUGUGGUCAGGGAUGUAAACAAGGGCCCUGUUAUUCAUCGCCUACGCCUACUACCCCUAGUGGGAGUGGUUCUGUUGCUGAUAUUGUUACGCCUGCUUUCUUCAAUGGUAUAAUCAACCAAGCUGCUGCAAGCUGUGCUGGGAAGAAUUUCUAUACAAGAAAUGCAUUUCUCAGUGCUGUC
Molecule: long non-coding RNA, 17223 nt
Filed under: Populus tremula
Lineage: Eukaryota; Viridiplantae; Streptophyta; Magnoliopsida; Malpighiales; Salicaceae
Description: long non-coding RNA (PTRE_LNC001626)
Source: RNAcentral